This 1464-nucleotide long non-coding RNA is filed under the name Venturia canescens. RNAcentral describes it as "uncharacterized LOC122409169, transcript variant X1". Lineage: Eukaryota; Metazoa; Arthropoda; Insecta; Hymenoptera; Ichneumonidae. The record is from RNAcentral.
ACCGCCUUCUGUUAUUAGAAAGCGUUUUUUUCUUUGGCGCCCAUGAGUGUGUCAGAAUUAACUGGUCAGGCUGCUCCAUCCCUUUUUCUUUUUCGUGCACGUUUUCCCAUGUUUGUAUUCCGAAGAAUACGUGACAGAUUUACUCUCACUUGUUCAGCAAUAACGCAACAAUGAAUCUUCGGAAUUCAACCCAUUAUUGAAAACCUAAAUUCCUAAGUUAUUUCACGUUGAUAAUUACAACUCAUUAUUUCCUUAUUUCCAAUUAAUUUUCAACUCAUCAGUCAUCGAUAUUCGACCAAGUUAUACAUAAAAAUUACAUUGUUUCGAGUGAUAAUUUUUUCUUCACAAUCUCAAAUAUCGAGGUAGUUUUAUUGGAUAUAAUUAGAGAAGAGUUUCGAAAAAUUGGAUACGAAACGUCAUCGUAUCCCCGUUGCUCGUCCCCUCUCGUCGCAGUCUCUCCGUUACGAAUAUUCCGGGUGCACUUGUUCACAAUUUCACAACGACAAGUUCCUCGUCCUUCAGCAUUUAAUCAAUGAAAUACCAGAGAAAACGGUGUGCAUGUGUAACAUACUGGCGCAGCUCGUGGAGCUAAAACAGUACGAAGAAAAUAUACGUGCGUUGUCUCCGCGCUUCAUUUUGGCUGCAGCGAAACGUGUUGCUAUUAUUCUAUUUUCUCAACGUGAACGACACGAGACGUUGCUCUCAUAGCAUCCGUUUUGCACUAUAAGGCGCUUGCCAGUUAGUGGCAGAUUGUAUGGUUGUACGCAGCGAGUUCUGAACAUCAAAUGUUCUUCAGCUCGAAGCAGAUGCUUCUCGAGUUAAUUACGUGUCUGGAAUAUCGAAGAUUCGGAGUCUUCGAAAAGUCAAACUGAAAAUGAUGAGGUUCAUUUGCUAGUUGUGAAAAAAGUAUGAGCUUUUAAAGUCCGACAUUCGAUCGCUGAGAGUGAAAAACAUUGUAAUAUGGAAACUCACGAUCAAUACAUUCAGUGUGAAAAUACAAGGCAACGGAGUCGCAGCUUUCACGUAAUCAUAUGACGAAAUGUCGCUUGUUCGUUACUCAACUUACGCGUUUCAUCGUCUCUGAAGCAGCAGUGAAUCACGAAUAUUGAAUUCACCUAUUAUCCCAUGGACCAUGUAAAAUAUUGAGAGCUCCGCAUUCGCCAUUCCCUCGGGCUAUAGAAAUGAACACACCCAACCAAAACGUUCAUGAGCCUGCUCGCUCAUGCAGUAUAUUGGAUAUUAACGUCAUUGUGACAGCUGCUAUUGAAGUAAAUGGACAUUCAUUAUAGGAUUUCAAGAGAUCCCGCCGAGCAUUCUAGUCUUUUCGUUGCUCGAGUACAUCGAAUUGAAAUUACACGGAGAAAACGAGGCCGAAAUAGUAAAAAGACCCACACCUUUUAUUCAAAUGACUCAAGGGUCUUUUUCUCUAUAAGCAUGUAUGUUUGGCAUGAUGAAUAACACUCG